UCUCCAGUAGCUCAAUGGUAGAGCGAUCGACUGUUAACCGAUAGGAUGUUGGUUCGAGCCCAAUCUGGGGAG
RNAcentral lists this transfer RNA (72 nucleotides) under Roseofilum sp. Guam. RNAcentral's name for it is "tRNA-Asn". It matches the Rfam family "tRNA". Rfam says of the family: Transfer RNA (tRNA) molecules are approximately 80 nucleotides in length. Their secondary structure includes four short double-helical elements and three loops (D, anti-codon, and T loops). Lineage: Bacteria; Bacillati; Cyanobacteriota; Cyanophyceae; Desertifilales; Desertifilaceae. The record is from RNAcentral.